CCUCCCUGGACCCAAGAAUGGACACAUCGAAAGGAACAUCCACGAUACCGGAACACGUCCUCAGGGGAAUGAGGACCCUCCUCUUGAACCACCAACUUGCAGACUCCUGGCGCAUCCUCCACCAUGCAGAAAGAGACUACACCUACUACUCGACACCACAUAGAUCCUACUCGAGGAUAGAUUACUUCUUCACCCAACACAGAGACCUAGACACGCUGAUAGCUGCUCGCAUAGCGCCCAUGACCUGGUGGGAUCACGCACCAGUGAUCCUUACCGAAAACCCCAAGCCCUUCAUUUUG
Non-coding RNA from Pelobates cultripes (western spadefoot toad), 299 nucleotides. NCBI's taxonomy places the organism in Eukaryota, Metazoa, Chordata, Amphibia, Anura, Pelobatidae. The record is from the annotation of a GenBank genome assembly.